UCCUCUGUAGUUCAGUCGGUAGAACGGCGGACUGUUAAUCCGUAUGUCA
This 49-nucleotide transfer RNA is filed under the name Klebsiella oxytoca KA-2. RNAcentral's name for it is "tRNA-Asn". It matches the Rfam family "tRNA", at positions 1 to 47 of the family's 71-position model. From Rfam's summary of the family: Transfer RNA (tRNA) molecules are approximately 80 nucleotides in length. Their secondary structure includes four short double-helical elements and three loops (D, anti-codon, and T loops). The record is from RNAcentral. RNAcentral also lists the same sequence under 1 other name. Lineage: Bacteria; Pseudomonadati; Pseudomonadota; Gammaproteobacteria; Enterobacterales; Enterobacteriaceae.